Molecule: ribosomal RNA, 239 nt
Filed under: uncultured bacterium
Lineage: Bacteria
Description: partial 16S ribosomal RNA
Rfam family: Bacterial small subunit ribosomal RNA
Source: RNAcentral
CGGCGGACGGGUGAGUAACGCGUGGGUAACCUGCCUCCAUACAGGGGGAUAACAGUUGGAAACGGCUGCUAAUACCGCAUAAGCGCACAGUACCGCAUGGUACGGUGUGAAAAACUCCGGUGGUAUGAGAUGGACCCGCGUCUGAUUAGGUAGUUGGUGGGGUAACGGCCUACCAAGCCGACGAUCAGUAGCCGACCUGAGAGGGUGACCGGCCACAUUGGGACUGAGACACGGCCCAA